CAGCGCCGUAAAGCGAUGAGUGCUAAAGUGUUAGGGGGUUUCCGCCCCUUAGUGCUGGCAGCUAANCGCAUUAAGCACUCCGGCNUGGGGGAGUACGGCCGCAAGGUUGAAACUCAAANGAAUUGAGCGGGGACCCGCACAAGCGGUGGAGCAUGUGGUNUAAUUNGAAGCAACGCGAAGAACCUUACCAAAUCUUGACAUCCUUUGACCGCUNUAGAGAUAGAGUUUUCCCCUUCGGGGGACAAAGUGACAGGUGGUGCAUGGUUGUCGUCAGCUCGUGUCGUGAGAUGUUGGGUUAAGUCCCGCAACGAGCGCAACCCUUAAGCUUAGUUGCCAUCAUUAAGUUGGGCACUCUAAGUUGACUGCCGGUGACAAACCGGAGGAAGGUGGGGAUGACGUCAAAUCAUCAUGCCCCUUAUGAUUUGGGCUACACACGUGCUACAAUGGACAAUACAAAGGGCAGCUAAACCGCGAGGUCAAGCAAAUCCCAUAAAGUUGUUCUCAGUUCGGAUUGUAGUCUGCAACUCGACUACAUGAAGCUGGAAUCGCUAGUAAUCGUAGAUCAGCAUGCUACGGUGAAUACGUUACCCGGGUCUUGUACACACCGCCCGUCACACCAGCGAGAGUUUGUAACACCCGAAGCCGGUGNANAAACCAUUGGGGGAG
This 666-nucleotide ribosomal RNA is filed under the name Methylobacterium sp. cch_19. RNAcentral's name for it is "bacterial SSU rRNA". It matches the Rfam family "Bacterial small subunit ribosomal RNA", at positions 795 to 1449 of the family's 1533-position model. Lineage: Bacteria; Pseudomonadati; Pseudomonadota; Alphaproteobacteria; Hyphomicrobiales; Methylobacteriaceae. The record is from RNAcentral.